AAAAGGAACUUUAAACAGUUAAGUAACCCUGCAACCUAACAUUCUUCCAGCUGCACCAUUACUCUAAAAACUAGACUACAAGUGAAACUAUAAAAACCUAUUGCACAACGCAAAGAGGCCUCCUUAGAAGACCAAAACAGAAACAGACAGAUAGAAACAGAGCUUCCAAGGAGGAUGAGGAUGAUGAUAGGUAUAAAACUGCUUACAGAACUCACCAAGGCAUUAUGAGUGGUUUGCUAUUUCUUUUGGCUUACUAGUGCCCUGCCACUUUUUUCAAUAUUUGAUGCAUGAUGUGCUAAGAAAUUUGUUGAGAAAAUGUCUUGUUUUUUUAUGAUAUUUUGGUAUAUAGUCCAAUAUAGUUAUCUCAUUUGCAACAUUUGGAAUCAGUUUUACAAUUAUUGCAACAAUGAGUUGUAAGCAAUACUAUCCAAAUGCACCUUUGGGUUACAACAGAUGGAAUACUUAGGUCAUACAAUUUUUGAACAAGGUGCAAGCUGUGUUAGAUUGGCCUACACCACUCAAUAUCAAACAAUUGAGGUAUUAUCGCAGGUAAUUAAAGGCUAUGCUUCUAAAGCUUUUCCUUUAACAAAUUUAGUUUCUGCUGGCAUGAUGUUUCUGCCUCAACAUUUGCAAAUCUGAAAGCUGCCAUCACUAAGGCCCUUGUACUAUCCCUUCCAGAAUUUUCUAAGCCUUCUGUCUUAGAAACCGAUGCACGGAGCAUUGAAAUAGGUGCAGUUUUGAGCCAAAAUAUGCAUCAUAUUGCGUUUUUCUCUAGGAAGCUCACUUCUAGAAUGCAGCAACAAUCCACUUAUUCUAGGGAAUUUUAUGCCAUUGCAUAAGUGAUUGCCAAGCUUCAGACAUUAUUUAUUGGGGUCACUAAUUUGUCAUUACAACAUAUCAACCAAGAUAUUUUGCAGUGACUGUCACACCUUCAGACAUUAUUUAUUGGGGUCACUAAUUUGCCACUCAAUUUCAACCAGUUGGGUAAUCCUCAAAAUUUUAUCGUGAUUGUAUAGGUUAUUGCAAUUGUUAGUCUUUAAUAAGGAAUUCCUAGUAAACACAAGUCAUAUUGUU
This 1074-nucleotide long non-coding RNA is filed under the name Phaseolus vulgaris (common bean). Its description in RNAcentral is "long non-coding RNA (PVUL_LNC000445)". Lineage: Eukaryota; Viridiplantae; Streptophyta; Magnoliopsida; Fabales; Fabaceae. The record is from RNAcentral.